RNAcentral lists this ribosomal RNA (253 nucleotides) under uncultured bacterium. Its description in RNAcentral is "partial 16S ribosomal RNA". It matches the Rfam family "Bacterial small subunit ribosomal RNA", at positions 524 to 776 of the family's 1533-position model. The record is from RNAcentral.
UACGUAGGGGGCGAGCGUUGUCCGGAAUUAUUGGGCGUAAAGAGCGUGUAGGCUGUUCGGUAAGUCUGCCGUGAAAACCUGAGGCUCAACCUCGGGCGUGCGGUGGAUACUGCCGGGCUAGAGGACGGUAGAGGCGAGUGGAAUUCCCGGUGUAGCGGUGAAAUGCGCAGAUAUCAGGAGGAACACCGGUGGCGAAGGCGGGUCUCUGGGCAGUAACUGACGCUGAGGAGCGAAAGCGUGGGGAGCGAACAGG